This 824-nucleotide ribosomal RNA is filed under the name uncultured Polaribacter sp. Its description in RNAcentral is "bacterial SSU rRNA". It matches the Rfam family "Bacterial small subunit ribosomal RNA", at positions 36 to 862 of the family's 1533-position model. Lineage: Bacteria; Pseudomonadati; Bacteroidota; Flavobacteriia; Flavobacteriales; Flavobacteriaceae. The record is from RNAcentral.
CUAGCGGCAGGCUUAACACAUGCAAGUCGAGGGGUAACAUUGUGCUUGCACAGAUGACGACCGGCGCACGGGUGCGUAACGCGUAUAGAACCUACCUUUUACUGGAGAAUAGCCUUUAGAAAUGAAGAUUAAUGCUCCAUGGUAUUGAGUUUUGGCAUCAAGACUUAAUUAAAGAUUUAUUGGUAAAAGAUGGCUAUGCGUCCUAUUAGUUAGAUGGUAAGGUAACGGCUUACCAUGACUUUGAUAGGUAGGGGUCCUGAGAGGGAGAUCCCCCACACUGGUACUGAGACACGGACCAGACUCCUACGGGAGGCAGCAGUGAGGAAUAUUGGGCAAUGGAGGCAACUCUGACCCAGCCAUGCCGCGUGAAGGAUGACUGCCCUAUGGGUUGUAAACUUCUUUUAUACAGGAAGAAACACUGGUAUGUAUACCAGCUUGACGGUACUGUAAGAAUAAGGACCGGCUAACUCCGUGCCAGCAGCCGCGGUAAUACGGAGGGUCCGAGCGUUAUCCGGAAUCAUUGGGUUUAAAGGGUCCGCAGGCGGUCGAUUAAGUCAGAGGUGAAAUCCCAUAGCUCAACUAUGGAACUGCCUUUGAUACUGGUUGACUUGAGUCAUAUGGAAGUAGAUAGAAUGUGUAGUGUAGCGGUGAAAUGCAUAGAUAUUACACAGAAUACCGAUUGCGAAGGCAGUCUACUACGUAUGUACUGACGCUGAGGGACGAAAGCGUGGGGAGCGAACAGGAUUAGAUACCCUGGUAGUCCACGCCGUAAACGAUGGAUACUAGUUGUUGGGCAUUAGCUCAGUGACUAAGCGAAAGUGAUA